Molecule: unclassified non-coding RNA, 669 nt
Filed under: Hevea brasiliensis (rubber tree)
Lineage: Eukaryota; Viridiplantae; Streptophyta; Magnoliopsida; Malpighiales; Euphorbiaceae
Source: RNAcentral
GCUGUCUGUUGAUAAAGGAAAAGAAAUAAAGGGGAAAGAAGAGAUUUUGGAGAUCAUUUAAGGAAUUGUUGGAAUAUUUUCAUGCCAUUGGGCUGCAAUGGCGGGCAAAAACUCAGGGGAUAAUAGGACUAGGACUUCUGUAUCAAUAUUUAUAAUAGCUGGUCUAUGCUGCUUCUUCUAUUUACUUGGAGCAUGGCAAAGAAGUGGUUUUGGGAAAGGAGAUAGUAUAGCAGUGGCUGUCACCAAGACUGCUGGUGAGAAUUGCGAUGUACUACCAAAUCUCAAUUUUGAAACUCGUCAUGCUGGCGAAGCAGGUGGUACUGAUGAGUCGGAAGAAGUCGAGGAACUUAAGCCAUGUGAUCCUCAGUACACUGAUUAUACACCAUGUCAAGAUCAAAAGCGUGCUAUGACUUUCCCAAGGGAAAAUAUGAACUACCGAGAAAGGCAUUGUCCACCUCAAGAAGAGAAGUUACAUUGCCUUAUUCCAGCACCUAAGGGGUAUGUCGCCCCAUUUCCAUGGCCAAAGAGUCGGGAUUACGUUCCAUAUGUGAAUGCCCCCUAUAAGAGCUUGACAGUCGAGAAGGCCAUUCAGAACUGGAUUCAGUAUGAAGGUAAUGUGUUUAGGUUCCCUGGAGGAGGGACACAGUUUCCUCAAGGAGCAGAUAAAUA